UGGGGAAUUUUGGACAAUGGGCGAAAGCCUGAUCCAGCCAUGCCGCGUGCAGGAUGAAGGCCUUCGGGUUGUAAACUGCUUUUGUACGGAACGAAAAGACUCUGGUUAAUACCUGGGGUCCAUGACGGUACCGUAAGAAUAAGCACCGGCUAACUACGUGCCAGCAGCCGCGGUAAUACGUAGGGUGCAAGCGUUAAUCGGAAUUACUGGGCGUAAAGCGUGCGCAGGCGGUUAUAUAAGACAGAUGUGAAAUCCCCGGGCUCAACCUGGGAACUGCAUUUGUGACUGUAUAGCUAGAGUACGGCAGAGGGGGAUGGAAUUCCGCGUGUAGCAGUGAAAUGCGUAGAUAUGCGGAGGAACACCGAUGGCGAAGGCAAUCCCCUGGGCCUGUAUUGACGCUCAUGCACGAAAGCGUGGGGAGCAAACAGGAUUAGAUACCCUGGUAGUCCACGCCCUAAACGAUGUCAACUGGUUGUUGGGUCUUCACUGACUCAGUAACGAAGCUAACGCGUGAAGUUGACCGCCUGGGGAGUACGGCCGCAAGGUUG
Molecule: ribosomal RNA, 548 nt
Filed under: uncultured bacterium
Lineage: Bacteria
Description: bacterial SSU rRNA
Rfam family: Bacterial small subunit ribosomal RNA
Source: RNAcentral